CUCCAGGACAUUGAUGAUUAGACUUCUGCUGGAAUAAUCCUGAAGAAAUUAUAACAUUUUAAACUAUUACAUUUCUGAAAACAAAAAUCUAUCUCUCUGCAACUAGAAUCAAACCACGUCUUGUUUAUAGUUCUAACAAGUAUGGUUAAGCCCUUGGACAUUCCUGGUGUGUUCUGCUGGUGCAUUGGUUCUGCUUUCUCUGCAAAACUGGUUACAGUUUUCUUUAUUUUUUGUUUUGUUUUGUAGAAUCACACAACUGUAAUAACAGCCAAUGUAGGAUUGUUGGUUUUGUAAAUGUUUUAAAUAUACAACACUCAUUAUUGGGCAGAUUUAAAAAUCAUAAAUACAUUGAUAAAGACUAUAGAGCACUCACUUCACAUCAUAUCAGAUGACCGAACAAAGAUUGAUGGACUCUAUGUUGCUACUCUUUUCCUCUAAUAUUUGCCCUGAUUUCAAGUUGAGCCACAGAAAUCUUGAAAAUAAUGAGAAAAGCAACCAUAAUGACUCAAACUAGCUUGUACCACUCGACUAGAAAAAUUACUCAGAAGGCAGGAUUUUUCUUGAGCUAAGCAUCGAGGGC
This is a non-coding RNA of Pelobates cultripes (western spadefoot toad), 580 nucleotides long. Lineage: Eukaryota; Metazoa; Chordata; Amphibia; Anura; Pelobatidae. The record is from the annotation of a GenBank genome assembly.